Molecule: long non-coding RNA, 399 nt
Organism: Lolium perenne
Lineage: Eukaryota; Viridiplantae; Streptophyta; Magnoliopsida; Poales; Poaceae
Source: RefSeq, a predicted model, not a curated record
CAAGUUCAUCGAGAGAAAAACUUCCAAUGAAGUGGAGCAGCGUGGUUUACGUGAUUGCACUUUUGCUCAUGGCCUGCCUUGUUGUUGGUGCACAAUGUCGUCUUGAAACCCGAAGGACCUAUCAAGGCGGUCAUGCCAACGCGACUGCGACGGAAUUAUCGUUAGAUGAGAGCAAGAUUCACUUCAAAUUUUGUGUGCUUUUGGACUGCAAGACCAAACGUGAAGCAAUGACAAAAGGAUGCCUGUGUUGCGUCACAAAGCCAGAAAUACCGUGUUUUCAUUCUGUAGAAGAAUGUCAGGCAAAUUGCCCACCCAUAAAAUCAAAAUAAGGGAUGGUAUUACUGAAACAUGUAAAAUAUAGCACGUCGCUAUUCGAAUAAGAUUUUGUGUUGAGUUCGA